GAUGAAGAACGCAGCGAAAUGCGAUAAGUAAUGUGAAUUGCAGAAUUCAGUGAAUCAUCGAAUCUUUGAACGCACAUUGCGCCCCUUGGUAUUCCGAGGGGCAUGCCUGUUCGAGCGUCAUUACACCACUCAAGCUAUGCUUGGUAUUGGGCGUCGUCCUUAGUUGGGCGCGCCUUAAAGACCUCGGCGAGGCCACUCCGGCUUUAGGCGUAGUAGAAUUUAUUCGAACGUCUGUCAAAGGAGAGGAACUCUGCCGACUGAAACCUGUAUUUUUCUAGGUUGACCUCGGAUCAGGUAGGGAUACCCGCUGAACUUAAGCAUAUCAAUAAGCGGAGGA
This 337-nucleotide unclassified non-coding RNA is filed under the name soil metagenome. RNAcentral describes it as "partial contains 5.8S ribosomal RNA, internal transcribed spacer 2, and large subunit ribosomal RNA". The stretch from base 1 to 120 matches the Rfam family "5.8S ribosomal RNA", at positions 35 to 154 of the family's 154-position model. The record is from RNAcentral.